GGAAUCUUCCACAAUGGACGAAAGUCUGAUGGAGCAACGCCGCGUGAGUGAAGAAGGGUUUCGGCUCGUAAAACUCUGUUGUUAAAGAAGAACAUAUCUGAGAGUAACUGUCCAGGUAUUGACGGUAUUUAACCAGAAAGCCACGGCUAACUACGUGCCAG
RNAcentral lists this ribosomal RNA (161 nucleotides) under uncultured bacterium. RNAcentral's name for it is "partial 16S rRNA". It matches the Rfam family "Bacterial small subunit ribosomal RNA", at positions 358 to 511 of the family's 1533-position model. The record is from RNAcentral.